Molecule: ribosomal RNA, 252 nt
Filed under: uncultured bacterium
Lineage: Bacteria
Description: partial 16S ribosomal RNA
Rfam family: Bacterial small subunit ribosomal RNA
Source: RNAcentral
UUGAACGCUGGCGGCAUGCCUUACACAUGCAAGUCGAACGGUAGAGGGGCAACCCUUGAGAGUGGCGAACGGGUGAGUAAUGCAUCGGAACGUGCCCAGUCGUGGGGGAUAACGCGGCGAAAGCUGUGCUAAUACCGCAUGUGAUCUGUGGAUGAAAGCAGGGGACCGCAAGGCCUUGUGCGAUUGGAGCGGCCGAUGUCAGAUUAGCUAGUUGGUAGGGUAAAAGCCUACCAAGGCGACGAUCUGUAGCUG